AACGAACGCUGGCGGCAUGCCUAACACAUGCAAGUCGAACGAGACCUUCGGGUCUAGUGGCGCACGGGUGCGUAACGCGUGGGAACCUGCCCUUAGGUUCGGAAUAACUCCCCGAAAGGGGUGCUAAUACCGGAUAAUGUCUUCGGACCAAAGAUUUAUCGCCUUUGGAUGGGCCCGCGUUGGAUUAGCUAGUUGGUAGGGUAAAAGCCUACCAAGGCGACGAUCCAUAGCUGGUCAGAGAGGAUGAUCAGCCACACUGGGACUGAGACACGGCCCAGACUCCUACGGGAGGCAGCAGUGGGGAAUAUUGGACAAUGGGCGAAAGCCUGAUCCAGCAAUGCCGCGUGAGUGAUGAAGGCCUUAGGGUUGUAAAGCUCUUUUACCCGGGAUGAUAAUGACAGUACCGGGAGAAUAAGCGCCGGCUAACUCCGUG
Molecule: ribosomal RNA, 433 nt
Filed under: uncultured bacterium
Lineage: Bacteria
Description: partial 16S ribosomal RNA
Rfam family: Bacterial small subunit ribosomal RNA
Source: RNAcentral